AAAUGUUAUAAUAUAGAUUAAUGGACAAAGAGAAGGAAUUUUUUAUCCACAAUUAUAUAAACACACUAACUUUGGGCUAUUUUUGGAGCAUAGUCGGUUAUACGCGAAAUACAACUGGGAAAUGCAUUUGAGUGGAAGAAAAAGAGGUGCAAAUCUCUAUUAAUAAAACACAACACACAAAAGAGGUGUGAUAUGUUUGUGAACGUGGAAUGAAUUACUCUCAGAUGACUGCAAUAGAGUGUGACUCUUCUUCAUCAGCACUCCUACAUCAUCAUCAGCAUUUGCCUCUUUUAAUUAUUUAAAUUAUUGAUACGUAGAACUU
Molecule: long non-coding RNA, 322 nt
Filed under: Cicer arietinum (chickpea)
Lineage: Eukaryota; Viridiplantae; Streptophyta; Magnoliopsida; Fabales; Fabaceae
Description: long non-coding RNA (CARI_LNC000585)
Source: RNAcentral